Centrocercus urophasianus (Greater sage-grouse) is the source of this 654-nucleotide long non-coding RNA. RefSeq lists it as uncharacterized. The record is from RefSeq and is a predicted model, not a curated record. The transcript is spliced from 4 exons. NCBI's taxonomy places the organism in Eukaryota, Metazoa, Chordata, Aves, Galliformes, Phasianidae.
CCUUAGCUGAGGCAGCCCCCCUCCAUUCUGUGGUUCUAUGGGCCCAGGCUCACAAUGCAGCGGAGCAGAGAGAGUUGGUGUGCUGACAGUGCCUGCUCUACUACAGCCAGACAGCAGCAGUACGUACAGCCACUGACAGCUCACAAUGAAGGACACUGCAGCAGUCCCAGUCAUGCACCAGCACAUGGCAAGAUGAGGUUGGCAGCAAGGUCAGCCAUGCUGUCAAGGCUGCUCAGCCUCUGCGCAGAUGGCCAGGAGCAACAGGAUGGAAAGCAUCACACACUCAAACUUCACACUCUUUUUACACUACACUACAAAAUGGGAACAGAGGUCACAGAAAUUGCAAGUUGUCUCACCUCAGUGCAAGGGAGUGAAAAAACAAUGAUCACACAAUGGACAAAAUCAAAAGGUAUGAAGAACAAGAGGACAUCUUAUGGGUAGACAAACAUCAAAGCCAAGAAUAAAACACUAUGUUGAGUAUGUAAGUAGUUAAGUAACAGCAAACUGGUCCUUAGCUGCUGAAAUGUUAAAAUGCACAUUUAAUAACACAGGACACAUUGAGAUGUAUAAUGCUUUUUUCCUAGUUCAACCUAAUAAAAAUUCCCAUAAAACUACUGGCACAUAUCCUGAAACAAGGCAUUGAUGGAGAAUUCG